Molecule: ribosomal RNA, 440 nt
Filed under: uncultured bacterium
Lineage: Bacteria
Description: bacterial SSU rRNA
Rfam family: Bacterial small subunit ribosomal RNA
Source: RNAcentral
CCUACGGGGGGCAGCAGUGGGGGAUAUUGCACAAUGGAGGAAACUCUGAUGCAGCAACGCCGCGUGAGGGAAGAAGGUCUUCGGAUUGUAAACCUCUGUCCUCAGGGACGAUAAUGACGGUACCUGAGGAGGAAGCUCCGGCUAACUACGUGCCAGCAGCCGCGGUAUUACGUAGGGAGCAAGCGUUGUCCGGCUUUACUGGGUGUAAAGGAUGCGUAGGCGGCCCUGCAAGUCAGGUGUGAAAACUAUGGGCUUAACUCAUAGAUUGCACUUGAAACUGUGGGGCUUGAGUGAAGUAGAGGCAGGCGGAAUACCCGGUCUGGCGGUGAAGUGAGUUGUAAGCGGGAAGAACGGCAGUGGGGAAAGCGGCGUGCUGGGCUUUAACUGAUGCUGGGGCACGAAAGCGUGUGUAGAGAACAGGAUUAGUGGCCCUGGUAGUG